Molecule: ribosomal RNA, 547 nt
Filed under: uncultured bacterium
Lineage: Bacteria
Description: bacterial SSU rRNA
Rfam family: Archaeal small subunit ribosomal RNA
Source: RNAcentral
AAUAGAUACCCUGGUAGUCCUAGCCGUAAACGAUACUCGCUAGGUGUCGGCCACGGUGCGACCGUUGUCGGUGCCGUAGGGAAGCCGUGAAGCGAGCCACCUGGGAAGUACGGCCGCAAGGCUGAAACUUAAAGGAAUUGGCGGGGGAGCACCACAACGGGUGGAGCUUGCGGUUUAAUUGGAUUCAACGCCGGAAAUCUUACCGGGACCGACAGCAAUAUGAAGGCCAGGCUGAAGACUUUGCCGGAUUAGCUGAGAGGUGGUGCAUGGCCGUCGUCAGUUCGUACUGUGAAGCAUCCUGUUAAGUCAGGCAACGAGCGAGACCCACGCCCACAGUUGCCAGCGUACUCUCUGGAGUGACGGGUACACUGUGGGGACCGCCGCUGCUAAAGCGGAGGAAGGAAUGGGCAACGGUAGGUCAGUAUGCCCCGAAUAUCCCGGGCUACACGCGAGCUACAAUGGUUGGUACAAUGGGUAUCUACCCCGAAAGGGCGGGAAUCUCCUAAAACCAAUCUUAGUUCGGAUUGAGGGCUGCAACUCGCCCUCA